MicroRNA precursor from Oryza rufipogon (brownbeard rice), 195 nucleotides. It matches the Rfam family "MIR812 microRNA precursor family". Lineage: Eukaryota; Viridiplantae; Streptophyta; Magnoliopsida; Poales; Poaceae. The record is from Rfam.
AAUAAGUGCAGCCAUUGUUCAUGUUCAACACUUGACCGUUCGUCUUAUUUAAAAAAAAUUAUGAUUAAUAUUUUUGUUGUUAUUAUAUGAUAAAACAUAAAUAGUAUUUUAUGUGUAAUUAUUUUUUAAAAAAAAUAUAAAUUUUUUAAAUAAGACGGACGAUCAAAAUGUUAGAUAUCUAUGGCUGUACUUAUU